Molecule: ribosomal RNA, 428 nt
Filed under: uncultured bacterium
Lineage: Bacteria
Description: partial 16S ribosomal RNA
Rfam family: Bacterial small subunit ribosomal RNA
Source: RNAcentral
GUAGGGAAUAUUGGACAAUGGGGGCAACCCUGAUCCAGCGACGCCGCGUGAGUGAUGAAGGCCUUCGGGUCGUAAAGCUCUGUUGCAGGGGAAGAACACAACGACGGUACCAUGCUAGAAAGGAUCGGCUAACUUCGUGCCAGCAGCCGCGGUAAGACGAGGGAUCCUAGCGUUGUUCGGAAUUAUUGGGCGUAAAGCGGGUGCAGGUGGCUUGGUAAGUCAGAUGUGAAAGCCUGUGGCUUAACCCCAGAAGUGCAUUUGAUACUGCUGAGCUUGAGUGCUGGAGAGGCUAUUAGAAUUCCUGGUGUAGUGGUGAAAUACGUAGAUAUCAGGAGGAAUACCGGAGGCGAAGGCGGAUAGCUGGCCAGACACUGACACUCAGACCCGAAAGCGUGGGGAUCAAACAGGAUUAGAAACCCGAGUAGUCC